Epinephelus moara (kelp grouper) is the source of this 619-nucleotide non-coding RNA. NCBI's taxonomy places the organism in Eukaryota, Metazoa, Chordata, Actinopteri, Perciformes, Serranidae. The record is from the annotation of a RefSeq genome assembly.
UUUUAGACUAUGUUAGGAGCUCUCUGAGAGUGUUCUCAGAAUGUGCCUGAGGACAGAGUUGUUUUUACUCUGAACUGUUUCUGGACGUCAAAAUGAAGCUGCUCUUGGUUGCUGUUCUCAUCUUCAACAGUUCCACCUUCUGUGUAAAAAUCACCCAGCCUCCAUUUAUAUUUAGCCGUGAAGGAGACUCGGCUGUGACUCUGCAGUGUGAACAAGAUGAUGAUCAAUAUUACAACAUGUACUGGUACAUACAGAGCGGCGGUGCUAACAUGCAGCUGGUAACAUAUUCAACUAGUAAAGAUACUGCUAGCACUGAAGCUCCUUUCAACAAGUCAAGCUACACCAUGUUCCGGCCUGAAAUGCUUCAGUCGUCUCUGCAGAUCAAGUCUAUGGAGGCUGGAGACUCAGCUGUGUAUUACUGCGCCUCCAGUAGAGCACAGUGAUUCAGAAAGCCUCAGCAGCUUAACAACAACAUCAGGACACCAAGGAGAGAUGACAGAGAGGAGGGAUGAGUGAGGAGGGUUAAUGUGUUGAGCUCUGAGGGGCCCUGAGCAGGACUUUGCUGACAUGACAACAGGCUGACAUCAAUAUUACAUGAAAAUAUAAAAUAAAACUUGUU